UACGGGGGGAGCAAGCGUUGUUCGGAUUACUGGCGUAAAGGGCGCGUAGGCGGUCAGCACAAGUCAGUUGUGAAAUCUCCGGGCUUAACUCGGAAAGGUCAACUGAUACUGUGCGACUAGAGUGCGGAAGGGGCAACUGGAAUUCUCGGUGUAGCGGUGAAAUGCGUAGAUAUCGAGAGGAACACCUGCGGCGAAGGCGGGUUGCUGGGCCGACACUGACGCUGAUGCGCGAAAGCCAGGGGAGCGAAGCGGG
Molecule: ribosomal RNA, 253 nt
Filed under: uncultured bacterium
Lineage: Bacteria
Description: partial 16S ribosomal RNA
Rfam family: Bacterial small subunit ribosomal RNA
Source: RNAcentral